CCAGCCACUUCUGACUCUAGCCAUCUGGUUAUGUCCCGGUGCCACAUGAACGGAAUAGACCACAACGUGAAAACGCCGGAAUCUAAUUCACCCACAACUUCGACUACCAAUUCGUCAAUCGGAGAUUGGGAUAUCUCAUUAGAUAACGUGGAUUUUGACAACGAUUUUCCUUUUGAUAACCCAGAAUUAUUUGCUUAAUUAAUAUCAUACAUCACUUGAUGUUGAUGGGUUUGUUGAUCCUAGCUAGCUCUGAAAGAGAGACUAAAAGG
Molecule: unclassified non-coding RNA, 269 nt
Filed under: Hevea brasiliensis (rubber tree)
Lineage: Eukaryota; Viridiplantae; Streptophyta; Magnoliopsida; Malpighiales; Euphorbiaceae
Source: RNAcentral